RNAcentral lists this unclassified non-coding RNA (590 nucleotides) under uncultured Bordetella sp. RNAcentral's name for it is "partial 16S-23S ribosomal RNA intergenic spacer". It matches the Rfam family "Bacterial small subunit ribosomal RNA", at positions 901 to 1499 of the family's 1533-position model. The record is from RNAcentral. Lineage: Bacteria; Pseudomonadati; Pseudomonadota; Betaproteobacteria; Burkholderiales; Alcaligenaceae.
CCAAAGGAAUUGACGGGGACCCGCACAAGCGGUGGAUGAUGUGGAUUAAUUCGAUGCAACGCGAAAAACCUUACCUACCCUUGACAUGUCUGGAAUCCCGAAGAGAUUUGGGAGUGCUCGCAAGAGAACCGGAACACAGGUGCUGCAUGGCUGUCGUCAGCUCGUGUCGUGAGAUGUUGGGUUAAGUCCCGCAACGAGUACAACCUUGUCAUUAGUUGUUUCAUGAAAGGGCACCUCUAAUGAGACUGCCGGUGACAAACCGGAGGAAGGUGGAUGACGUCGUCCCUCAUGGCCCUUAUGGGGUAGGGCUUCACACGUCAUACAAUGGUCGGGACAGAGGGUCGCCAACCCGCGAGGGGGAGCCAACCAGAAACCGAUCAGGAAUCCUUGAUCGCAGUCUGCAAUCGACUGCGCGAAGUCGGAAUCGCUAGUAAUCGCGGAUCAGCAUGUCGCGGUGAAUACGUUCCUGGGUCUUGUACACACCGCCCGUCACACAUGGGAGUGGUUUUACCAGAAGUAGUUAGCCUAACCGUAAGGAGGGCGAUUACCACGGUAGGAUUCAUGACUGGGGUGAAGUCGUAACAAGGUAG